AUACGGAGGAUCCAAGCGUUAUCCGGAUUUAUUGGGUUUAAAGGGUGCGUAGGCGGACUGGUAAGUCAGCUGUGAAAGUUUGCGGCUUAACCGUAAAAUUGAAGUUGAUCCUGUCAGUCUUGAGUGUGCAUGAGGUGGGCGGAAUUUGUGGUGUAGCGGUGAAAUGCUUAGAUAUCACGAGGAACUCCAAUUGCGAAGGCAGCUCACUGGGGCAUAACUGACGCUGAUGCACGAAGGUGUGGGUAUCAAACAGGAUUAGAUACCCUGGUAGUCCACACAGUAAACUAUGAAUACUCGCUGUUUGCGAUAUACAGUAAGCGGCCAAGCGAAAGCAUUAAGUAUUCCACCUGGGGAGUACGCCGGCAACGGUGAAACUCAAAUGAAUUGACGGGG
RNAcentral lists this ribosomal RNA (393 nucleotides) under uncultured bacterium. RNAcentral's name for it is "partial 16S ribosomal RNA". It matches the Rfam family "Bacterial small subunit ribosomal RNA", at positions 523 to 918 of the family's 1533-position model. The record is from RNAcentral.